This 870-nucleotide ribosomal RNA is filed under the name uncultured archaeon. Its description in RNAcentral is "bacterial SSU rRNA". It matches the Rfam family "Archaeal small subunit ribosomal RNA", at positions 4 to 879 of the family's 1478-position model. The record is from RNAcentral.
CUGGUUGAUCCUGCCGGCGGCCACUGCUAUCAGGUUUCGACUAAGCCAUGCGAGUCGAAGGAUCGUAAGAUACUGGCAUACUGCUCAGUAACACGCGGACAAUCUACCCCCAGAUGGAGUAUAACCUCGGGAAACUGAGGCUAAUCCUCCAUAGUCAUCGUAUGAUGGAAGGCUUCGAUGAUGAAAGCUCCGGCGUCUGAGGAUGAGUCUGCGGCCUAUCAGGUUGUAUGUGGUGUAAAGGACCACAUAGCCUAAGACGGGUACGGGCCCUGAAAGGGGUAGCCCGGAGAUGGACUCUGAGACACCAGUCCAGGCCCUACGGGGCGCAGCAGGCGCGAAAACUGUGCAAUGCGCGAAAGCGCGACACGGGAAACCUGAGUGCUCUGACUUUGUCAGAGCUUUUCCUAAGUCUAAAACGCUUAGGGAAUAAGAGCUGGGCAAGACGGGUGCCAGCCGCCGCGGUAACACCCGCAGCUCGAGUGGUGGUCACUUUUAUUGAGCCUAAAGCGUUCGUAGCCGGUUUCGUAAAUCUCCAGGAAAAUUCUCCUGCUUAACAGAAGAUCUUCUGGAGAGACUGCGGAACUAGGGACCGGGUGAGGUUGAAGGUACUUUCUGGGUAGGGGUAAAAUCCUGUAAUCCUGAAAGGACGACCGGUGGCGAAGGCGUUCAACUGGAACGGAUCCGACGGUGAGGAACGAGGGCUAGGGGAGCAAACCGGAUUAGAUACCCGGGUAGUCCUAGCUGUAAACACUGCCCAUUUGGUGUUGCAUCUCCUUUAAGGGGGUGCAGUGCCGUAGCGAAGGUGUUAAAUGGGCCGCUUGGGGAGUAUGGUCGCAAGGCUGAAACUUCAAGGAAUUGGCGGGGGAGCAC